CAGCAGCCGCGGGAACACGAACCGUCCGAACGUUAUUCGGAAUCACUGGGCUUAAAGCGCGUGUAGGCGGGCCGCCACGUCGGCUGCUGAAAUCCCCCGGCUCAACCGGGGAAGUGGCACCGAUACGAGCGGCCUCGAGGGGGGUAGGGGGGACUGGAGCUUCCGGUGGAGCGGUGAAAUGCGUUGAGAUGUGGAGGAACACCAGUGGCGAAGGCGACUCUUUGGUCUGUAACUGACGCUGAGGAGCGAAAGCGUGGGGAGCGAACAGGAUUAGAUACCCCUGUAGUCCCUGUCUCUUAUA
This 301-nucleotide ribosomal RNA is filed under the name uncultured bacterium. Its description in RNAcentral is "partial 16S ribosomal RNA". It matches the Rfam family "Bacterial small subunit ribosomal RNA", at positions 509 to 808 of the family's 1533-position model. The record is from RNAcentral.